Molecule: ribosomal RNA, 253 nt
Filed under: uncultured bacterium
Lineage: Bacteria
Description: partial 16S ribosomal RNA
Rfam family: Bacterial small subunit ribosomal RNA
Source: RNAcentral
UACGUAGGGGGCAAGCGUUGUCCGGAAUCAUUGGGCGUAAAGGGCGCGUAGGCGGCCAUCUAAGUCAGACGUGAAAUCCCCCGGCUUAACCUGGGAACUGCGUCUGAUACUGGACGGCUUGAGUAUGGGAGAGGGAUGUAGAAUUCCAGGUGUAGCGGUGAAAUGCGUAGAUAUCUGGAGGAAUACCGGUGGCGAAGGCGGCAUCCUGGACCAUUACUGACGCUGAGGCGCGAAAGCUAGGGGAGCAAACGGG